RNAcentral lists this ribosomal RNA (301 nucleotides) under uncultured bacterium. Its description in RNAcentral is "partial 16S ribosomal RNA". It matches the Rfam family "Bacterial small subunit ribosomal RNA", at positions 509 to 807 of the family's 1533-position model. The record is from RNAcentral.
CAGCCGCCACGGUAAUACGGAGGGUGCAAGCGUUAUCCGGAUUCACUGGGUUUAAAGGGUGCGUAGGCGGAUCUGUAAGUCAGUGGUGAAAUCUCCAGGCUUAACCUGGAAACUGCCGUUGAUACUAUAGGUCUUGAAUUUUGUGGAGGUUAGCGGAAUAUGUCAUGUAGCGGUGAAAUGCAUAGAUAUGACAUAGAACACCAAUUGCGAAGGCAGCUGGCUACACAACUAUUGACGCUGAGGCACGAAAGCGUGGGGAUCAAACAGGAUUAGAUACCCCCGUAGUCCCUGUCUCUUAUAC